AAAACGUAAAUUCGCCGAGCUUCCGUUGCUAAAUUUCAUGUAAAUAUGCAGCCUUAGCCGUGAUUAUUCUUUAAUCGCCAGGGUUAAUAGGGAAACUUAUUAGCCUCCCGACAUUUGGAAAGGUGAAAUGUUAACUGACAA
Molecule: non-coding RNA, 141 nt
Filed under: Thalassotalea sp. PP2-459
Lineage: Bacteria; Pseudomonadati; Pseudomonadota; Gammaproteobacteria; Alteromonadales; Colwelliaceae
Also listed under: 1 other name
Description: Molybdenum/Tungsten riboswitch aptamer (Moco RNA motif)
Rfam family: Molybdenum/Tungsten riboswitch aptamer (Moco RNA motif)
Source: Rfam by way of RNAcentral